This is a long non-coding RNA of Monopterus albus (swamp eel), 2223 nucleotides long. RefSeq lists it as uncharacterized. Lineage: Eukaryota; Metazoa; Chordata; Actinopteri; Synbranchiformes; Synbranchidae. The transcript is spliced from 4 exons. The record is from RefSeq and is a predicted model, not a curated record.
CUUAGCAGAGAAUAUCAUCAACAUCAGCAGAACAGCCGGCAAAGCAGACAAAAACAUCAGAAUAUUUUGCCUUUCUUUGCCAAAAAACAGAGCCUCAUUACUUACACAUUUAACGCUGCCUAAAUUUCUCACUUAAUGAUUAAGUUACUGGGGUAAAAAUCACUACAUUUGAUGCUAUUUGAAGCACCAAGGUACAGCUGUAACUUUUACUCAUGCUGAUAAAGCUGUCCUUCAUCAUGACUGGUUUCAGGAUUGUUUCUUGCACUGGACAAUCAGUCACUCCCAGGGAUUCGGUGUUGUAACUGCUGGUUCUCCCUGUGUUUUUCAUGUCUUGUGCUUUAUGUUUUCAGGUUGUCUGUCCGCCCAUCUCAGAGACACCUGGAGGAAAUACCUUCAAAUUUGGCACAAACAUCCACUUGGACUUGAGGGUGAACUAAUUAGGUUUUGGUCAACAAAGGAGCUGACAGUCGUCUACAGCGGAGAGCCUUUCUUCUGCUGCCUCUUCUCUGUCUGCAGGAGCACACCCAGGAGACAGAUGCACACUGUAUAAUAAAUGUCUGAGUGCUUAAUACACUGAUGGCAGCAAGCCACCACACAAGGCGCUGGUCUGACCAUUAGCGGUGAACUGGGGGUUUCCUGUCCUGCCCUCAGACAUGGCAUGGGCAAGCUCAGAAUGAACCACCAACCCUCCGUUUAUUGGAUGACCUGCCUUAAUUUCCCCAUUGUGGGAUCAAUAAAGUCUUACCUUAACUCCUGAGCCACAGCCGCCCUCAGUGACGAUGAUAACACCGGACUCAGUGAGAACAAGUCCCUGCUCACAGAGAAGCGAUGGUAAGUGGCAGGAGACAAACUGUGGACUCAGAGGAGUGCGCUCACUGUUCACCUCAAGGGAACCCAGCCUGAAUGACACAUGACCACAGCGAUGACAGCCACAGGAAGGUCAGAUGUUCAUCCACAUAAAAAUAAACUACUGUCAGAUUAAACUGUUGCGCUCACCACUGUUACAUAACAGCUAGCAACAACAGCCCUUGUCCUGCAGACACUGAUGAAUGGCAUAAUUACAGAGGAUGAACUGGAUAAAAGUCCUCAUCUCAUGAUUAAUUGAAAAUGUAUUCUCUGCUCCACCCUUCCAGCAAAGUUACUGUCCAACCUCUAAAGACAUACUUUAGUUUAGUUGUACGUAGCCACAUCAGUGCACUAGAUGAAAAGUCAGUUCAUCAUCUGGGAGCCAUGAAAAUCUAUAUAAUUUUAUGCCAAUCCAUCUAAUUGAUGUUGAGAUAUUUCACUGGAUAAUUGGAGAAACUUUGACCUGCUGACUUGAUUAACUUCCUUCAAGUCUUCACUAUAGAUAUGAAUUGGUCCAACUUGACUGGUUGGCGGAGGCUUACAACCACCAGGAAGCAAUUCUAGUUUAAACUUUUAUUGAUGGAGAUUUUAGGACUUAAUACGUAAAGGGACUUGCAUUGCAGAUUUGUGUGUAUGAGAUUAAAGGAGGGUUCUCAUUUCAGCCUCAUAAGAUCUAAUCACUUGCCCCAGUCAAUGCAUGUGAGAGGAGUGUGGGUCAGAGUUAGCAAGUGUCGAAGCCUAGCGCGUGAUCUAGACCUGUUAUCUCUGUGUUAUACUGACUCAACUGAUAGAAAACCUUCAUGUACUGAUGUGGGUCAGUGUGAUGUCUGUGUGUGUUGAGACCAGGGGAACCUCACUGUGUGAAUGAGCAGGGUGGCACUGACUGUGCAAACCGCAGCUCCUCCGGCUCACCAUUUGUGAUAAUGAAAUUUUCCGGGAGCAGACUUUGUCUCUCUGACACAUUGAGGGGAAGCUGUGAAAAGCCCAUCUUCCCUGUGAGGAUGUCUGAGGAGAGAAAAGCAGCAGAAACAAAUGUGUUUCAUCAGGGAAAAGACAGCCUGGACAGCCUAUUCAAAACAAUUCCAUUUGCCAGAGGUUUCCAUUAUCACAUCUAUAAUGGAGGACAUUGGGAGGGGAGGGAAGAUCACAAUAUAAAUUUCUUCUAAAGCAAAACUACAGGAAGCGGUAGACAUAUUCUGCAAAAAUAUUGACCUUUACCAGGAGAGCAGAGGCAGUUUUGGUCACCAAUUUUUAGUUUCAUACUUUCCCUGAUUGUAAUUAGAGUUUGUGUUCAGUGUCAGGACAGGUAUCUCCUCUCACAACAUGAUUUACAUCUGUCCAUGGAUACACCUUAAUGUAGGUUCUUUAGAUUCUGUA